UACGGAGGGUGCGAGCGUUGUCCGGAAUCACUGGGCGUAAAGGGCGCGUAGGCGGCGCGGGAAGUCAUCGGUGAAAGUUCAGGGCUCAACUCUGAAUCGGCCGGUGAUACUCCCGUGCUCGAGCACUGUAGAGGCAGGUGGAAUUCCGGGUGUAGCGGUGGAAUGCGUAGAUAUCGUAAGGAAGACCAGUGGCGAAGGCGGGUCUCUGGACAGUUCCUGACGCUGAGGCACGAAGGUCAGGGGAGCAAACGGG
Molecule: ribosomal RNA, 253 nt
Filed under: uncultured bacterium
Lineage: Bacteria
Description: partial 16S ribosomal RNA
Rfam family: Bacterial small subunit ribosomal RNA
Source: RNAcentral